UGUUAAAAAUUGCAUCUUUUGUACUGUUAAAAACUAAGUUGACUGAUGGAAUAACCAGAUGUGACUUGACGGAAUAACCAGAUAUAGACAUGUGGUGUGCCACAUGUACCUUAUGAUGGCGUACAUGAACCAGUUUUUAACUGUAGAAAUAGAUGAAAUUUUUAAUA
This is a non-coding RNA of Gossypium hirsutum (cotton), 167 nucleotides long. NCBI's taxonomy places the organism in Eukaryota, Viridiplantae, Streptophyta, Magnoliopsida, Malvales, Malvaceae. The record is from Rfam.